Molecule: long non-coding RNA, 1737 nt
Organism: Vicia villosa (hairy vetch)
Lineage: Eukaryota; Viridiplantae; Streptophyta; Magnoliopsida; Fabales; Fabaceae
Exons: 4
Source: RefSeq, a predicted model, not a curated record
GCAUGUUUCCAUCAAGAACAAAUUAAAAAAAAAUCGUUUCCCUCAUAAUUCAUUUCAUUUCCUUCCGAAUUCAUCUUUUGUGAAAUUCUCCCGCUUUCAAAUUAGGGAAAUUUCGUUUCCCCCAUAAUUCAUUUUGUUUCCCUCCGAAUUCAUUUUUUGUGAAAUUCUCCCGCUUCCAAUAAGUUCAACGAUUCCUCUUCGUUGUUUAUUAAAAACUGUCAAGUUACACGAUUCCUCUUCUUUGUUCACCUUCAUUUGUGAUUAGGGUUUUUCACCAUUCUAUUAUACUCUUUCUGCGAUUAAACUGCUUCUCCGAUUCACUUGGGUGCGCGAUUCACCAUGGAGUGUUCACCUUGCUUGGAGAAGAUUUGACACCUGCAAGAGAUGGUACUCAUUCCACCAUUGAAUUAGUUGUUGAUCCCAAGUUUAAUCAUGGAGUACUUUAUGACCAGAUACAUCCGGGUGCUUUUGAACUGUCUUGCCUUCUCUUUAUGUUUAACAAACAAAAUCGUUUUCCCUAUUCUCUACUUUUUCAGUUUUGUAUGUGAUGCUGUGGAUGGCUGGUGUGCUUGAAGAUUCAAAUUUCCUUCCAUCUGCAGUUAAUGUUCUAUGAAACUGGUAAGCUGGCUGCAACCAUUGGCUACUUGUUUCAGCAGUAAAUGUUAGAUAACAUGUUCCUACGCAAGCUGGCUUUAGCCAAAUUGAUAUGAAUGUCCAAUAGUCUUUCUUGAACAAAACAUUGGUCUUUGCUGAGUUAUGUUAAAGACAUUUUUUUAGUCAGCUACAGGCCCUUCUAUGAAAUGACUAUUUUUUUAGUCAGCAGGUAUUGUUUGUCAGUUUAUGAUAGAUCCACUCACUAAUGGUAAUGUAAAUAGUGAUGCCCCCGUAACUGGUAUUGCGAAUGCAGAGUCCGAUUUUACAAGACUUUGAUUUGAAUACAAAAUUGCUCCAAAACGACUCAAGGCACCUCGGGCUUCCUUAAAACCUUCUGAUAUUGAAAAUAGAAAAAGAGUGGUUUUAGCAUCAACUAGUGGAUCAUCGGCUCUAUUUCGUUUUCCCGCAUGGCUUUAACUUUGGGAAAUUGUCUUUUUGGGCAACAAGUUUUGUGUGAUGCAAGUAUGCAGGUAGCAGCUGGUUCUUGGACUGAUAUGGCAGGUUUGCAUUGGCCAUGUUGCUGCCGUAACUGGUGUUGUUUGUGACCACAUACAAUGAGGUUUACAUCAUCUUCUAAUAUUGAAACAAUCUUCCUCCUUGGCUUUUCUUUUUUUAUUUUCCUUUUAUUGACUAGCAGAAUGCGCAUUCUCACCACCACUAGCACCAGCAGCAAAGUCUAUUGAGCAUUGCUUAGAAGUUUGAUCACUGGAUGAACCAAAUGACCAAAUGUUUGAAAAAAUGAUGUAGAGGGAUUGCACUGAGAUGCCACAAGUUUUGUGAAAAUGGUGUAACAUUGAGUGAACUGAAAAUUUUCAUCCAUGAAUUUCAUUCCAACACCAAUGCUUCCACCUUGAGGUUCACAUCAAUACUGAUGAAGAAGGAUGAGUGAAGACUGAUUAUUGAUGUUUGAAGACUUUUUUUGUGAUUCUAUUAUGUUAAGUUUGUAUUAGUUAUUGUGUGCCAACCUUUGGUUUUGGUGUCAACUAAACUAUUAAGUCACUGCUUUUUAAAUUUCAAGACAUGUUAAGAUAUUGAUGUAAUUGAAUGCCUCCAUUUGACGAAUGCUACCUUUUAAAUUUGCCU